UACGAAGGGGGCAAGCGUUUGUUCGGAAUUACUGGGCGUAAAGGGCGCGCAGGCGGCUGAUACAAGUCAGAUGUGAAAGCCCCGGGCUCAACCUGGGAAUAGCAUUUGGGACUGGUCGGCUAGGAGUUCGGGAGAGGAGAGUGGAAUUCCCAGUGUAGAGGUGAAAUUCGUAGAUAUUGGGAAGAACACCGGUGGCGAAGGCGGCUCUCUGGGCCGAAAC
Molecule: ribosomal RNA, 220 nt
Filed under: uncultured bacterium
Lineage: Bacteria
Description: partial 16S ribosomal RNA
Rfam family: Bacterial small subunit ribosomal RNA
Source: RNAcentral